AAGAAAAAGUUUAAUUAUUUUAUUUGUUUAAAAAUUAUUUAAUAUAAAUAAAUUUAAAUUUAAGAGUUUUUGUAAUGUUUAAUGAUCAAAUAAUUUUUUUUAUAGAAAAGGAGUAUUGAAAAAGAAAAUUGAAAAAUUUUUUUGUUUAUAGAAAAGUAGUAUUGAUUUUAUGUACCUUUUGUAUCAGGGUUUAUUAAAUAAGGAAUAAAUAUAUUAUGUUCUCGAAUUUAAAGGAGCUAAAUUAUUAUGAUAGUUUUUGUGUUAUAAAAAUUAUAAAUAAUAAUUUAGAAAUGAAACGUUAUUCGUCUUUAAAUAUAUCUAGUUUUUUAAGAAAUAAAUUUAAUUUAUAUAUUAAUUAGUUAAUUUUUUAAUUUUUAAAUAAAUUAAUAGUUAGUAUAAAUAUAUCAAGGGAUAAGCUUUGAUUUAUUAAAAUUAUAAAGGAGAUAAAUUGUAAUUAAUUGUAGAUUUAGAAAUAGUUAUCAAUAAAAAGUUUGUAUUAAUUUAUAAAUUUAAAAAAAAAUAUUUAUUAAAAUUUAAUUUGAGUAUUAAAAUGUAAACUAAAAUUUUAUAGGUUUAGUAAUAAUGAUAAAAUUAGUAUAAUAGAAUUGUUAAAAUAUAAGUAAUUAUGAAAUUAUUUUAAGGAAUUCGGCAAAAAUAAUGUUCACCUGUUUAACAAAAACAUGUCUUUUAGAUUAUAAUUUAAAGUCUAACCUGCCCACUGAAAUUAUUUGAAGGGCCGCGGUAUUUUGACUGUGCAAAGGUAGCAUAAUCAUUAGUCUUUUAAUUGAAGGCUUGUAUGAAUGGUUGGAUGAAACAUUAACUGUCUCAAUUUAAAAAAAGUAGAAUUUAAUUUUUAAGUUAAAAAGCUUAAAUAAAAUUAGAGGACGAGAAGACCCUAUAGAUCUUUAUAUUUAAUAUUUUAUAAUGAAUAUAGAAUAAUAAUUUAUAUUAAUAUAUUAAUUAUUUUAUUGGGGUGAUAGAUAAAUUUAGUAAACUUUAUUUAAUAAAUACAUUAAUUUAUGAAUAUUUGAUCCAUUAAUAGUGAUUAUAAGAUUAAGUUACCUUAGGGAUAACAGCGUAAUUUUUUUAGAGAGUUCAUAUCGAUAAAAAAGUUUGCGACCUCGAUGUUGAAUUAAAGGUUAAUUUUAGGUGUAGAAGUUUAAAAUUUUGGUCUGUUCGACCAUUAAAUCUUUACAUGAUUUGAGUUCAAACCGGCGUGAGCCAGGUUGGUUUCUAUCCUUAAUUAUAUAAAAUAUUUUAGUACGAAAGGACCAAAUAUUUAAAAAAUUUUUUAAAAAUUGAAUAAUAUUAAU
Molecule: ribosomal RNA, 1313 nt
Filed under: Protohermes flavinervus
Lineage: Eukaryota; Metazoa; Arthropoda; Insecta; Megaloptera; Corydalidae
Description: 16S ribosomal RNA
Rfam family: Archaeal large subunit ribosomal RNA (bases 1069-1228)
Source: RNAcentral